Molecule: long non-coding RNA, 633 nt
Organism: Fundulus heteroclitus (mummichog)
Lineage: Eukaryota; Metazoa; Chordata; Actinopteri; Cyprinodontiformes; Fundulidae
Exons: 3
Source: RefSeq, a predicted model, not a curated record
GAGAGAGAGAGAGAGAGAGAGGGGAGAGGAAGGGGCUGGCAGCACAUGAUCACACGGGCUGGAUCCAGUCACUCAUCUACUGGAGCGUUCAUAAUUGAGGUGGCGUCCACAUAUGGGAAUACAACGGGGCGAGAUUGUGAUCGCACCUGAUUCUGGAGGACACCGUGCGGCGAAAAGGUGGCCAAAUCCGGGGGACUUUGCCCGUACCAGCCGAGAGAAAGACUGAAAGAGAGAAAGAGAGGGGGAGAAAGAGAGAAAGAGAGGGAGAGGGAGGGAGAAAGAGAAAGAGCGGCAGCCCCAAAACACCAUCCGGGAGCUGAUCUGGAAUCAGACGUGACGACUAAUCUACAUCAGAGCUCCAUCAAAGCUGAAAGCACCGAGGAAAGAGCUGCUCCUAUAAAAAAAAAAGAGAGAACACGCUCCUACACGUCGCCAUCCGCCUCAGCUUCCUGGAGUUCACGGACCGUGUAAACAGGAGCCUGAGAAGAGCGCUUGGAGACUUUGAAGGAGUUGUGUCGGGAAGAAUAGUGCAGAUGGUGUGGCAUCAUCUCCUUCCCUGUCAGCCCCACUUCAAAAAAUGUAACAAAGUGUGCAGCGGUAAUUUGCGUACCUUGUGGCACCGCUCAGCUGGAG